Molecule: long non-coding RNA, 1132 nt
Filed under: Neogale vison (American mink)
Lineage: Eukaryota; Metazoa; Chordata; Mammalia; Carnivora; Mustelidae
Description: Neovison vison (American mink) lncRNA (ENSNVIG00000022603.1)
Source: RNAcentral
CGCCGCGCCUGCGCACUAGGUCGUGCGCGGUCCUGCCGUCCGCCCCUGCGCGCUGCGGGGACGCCGCUCCGGGCUGCCGGGACGGUGUGGGCUCCUCUGGGCUCCGGAAAAGACCUUCCGCGGUGGCCGCGAGGGUCCGCGCGAGGCGGGAGAGACCGUGAGCCCAGCGGCAGUCUGCGGUCACCAGCUCUUCCCGGACAGGCCACCGCCGCCCGCCACGAUGCUGCCCUGCGGCCUUCCGCACGGUCUCCAGCAGCCUCGGCACCCCGUCCGUGUGUCCUGUGCGGACAGCGGCGCGUGCCCCACGGCCAGCGACGCGCCGGCAUCCCUGCGGCGGCCAGCCUGUGGGCCAGGAGGGCAUCCCUGCGCAGAGCUCCCCUCGGCGGGGCCCAACGGGCCAGGCCUGCAGAGCAAGUAAGGCUGCGUUUUAUUCCAGGUUGUGUGGACCAUUGGAGGAAAAGCCGGCAUUUAAACCCAGCUAUCAGCGCAGUCAGGGUCUGACCCUCAGUGUCAGCCAGGAAAGCCAGCUGCGGGAGCUCAGCACUGAGUCGACACUCAACAAUGUUUUAUUGCACCAUCUGGAUGCACUCACGUGCCCUCUCCUGUGUUUAGAAACACGGAGAUACGUGCGCAGCAAAGGACGGCACGAACAAGUAUGUGCCCUUCCCGAGGAGUGACAGAACGGUUGAGCUGGCCGGUGCCACAGAUCGCGGUCACUUCCAUCCAGAUUUCAGGAUGAGCAGAGACGUGUUCGGCCUCGUAGUCUGGGAUUUGUGGUUCUGGGAGGUUUUGUGUGUCUCUUGAAGGUGUCGAACUACGUACGACUCUGGGCGGACACCGCUAGUGACUUUUUUUUUUUUUUCCCCGCUAGUGACUUUGUAGACAGUGCCCCUUACCCAUUCUGUAUGGAGAUACAUAUGUCUAAUGUGGAAUUCCUGUCAAAGGCUUUACACUUUAAAGAUUUUGUUUAAUACUUAUUUUCAAAUAUUUGGUUGCGUGCUAGAUAUCUGCUCCUUACAAUCAAAACGUUUCUUGGGAUUUUGAGCCUUAAAAUUUUUCUUUGUUCGAUGGCUUGGGAUGUAGUCUACGAUUGUCUGCGUGCUUUAGAAAAACCACAGGCUGGGGGGUGGGG